UACGUAGGGGGCAAGCGUUGUCCGGAAUCAUUGGGCGUAAAGAGCGUGUAGGCGGCCCGAUAAGUCCGCCGUGAAAGUCCAGGGCUCAACCCUGGGAUGCCGGUGGAUACUGUCGAGCUCGAGUCCGGAAGAGGCGAGUGGAAUUCCUGGUGUAGCGGUGAAAUGCGCAGAUAUCAGGAGGAACACCAAUGGCGAAGGCAGCUCGCUGGGACGUGACUGACGCUGAGACGCGAAAGCGUGGGGAGCAAACAGG
This 253-nucleotide ribosomal RNA is filed under the name uncultured bacterium. RNAcentral's name for it is "partial 16S ribosomal RNA". It matches the Rfam family "Bacterial small subunit ribosomal RNA", at positions 524 to 776 of the family's 1533-position model. The record is from RNAcentral.